This 493-nucleotide ribosomal RNA is filed under the name uncultured Bacteroidota bacterium. RNAcentral describes it as "bacterial SSU rRNA". It matches the Rfam family "Bacterial small subunit ribosomal RNA", at positions 28 to 524 of the family's 1533-position model. Lineage: Bacteria; Pseudomonadati; Bacteroidota. The record is from RNAcentral.
GAUGAACGCUAGCGGCAGGCUUAUACAUGCAAGUCGAGGGGCAGCACAGAUAGCAAUAUUGGGUGGCGACCGGCAAACGGGGCGGAACACGUACACAACCUUCCUUUCGGUGGGGGAUAGCCUUUGGAAACGGAGAUUAAACCCCAUAAAACAGGGACACUGCAUGGUGAUAUUGUUAAAGAUUUAUCGCCGGAAGAUGGUGUGCGUAUGAUUAGGUAGUUGGUAGGGUAACGGCCUACCAAGCCGACGAUCAUUAACGGGGUGAGAGCACGACCAGUCACACGGGCACUGAGACACGGGCCCGACUCCUACGGGAGCAGCAGUAAGGAAUAUUGGUCAAUGGACGGAAGUCUGAACCAGCCAUGCCGCGUGGAGGUGAAGGUCCUCUGGAUUGUAAACUUCUUUUAUAGGGGGCGAAAAAGGGUCUUUAUAGAUAACUGACGGUACCUUAUGAAUAAGCACCGGCUAACUCCGUGCCAGCAGCCGCGGUAAU